RNAcentral lists this ribosomal RNA (253 nucleotides) under uncultured bacterium. RNAcentral's name for it is "partial 16S ribosomal RNA". It matches the Rfam family "Bacterial small subunit ribosomal RNA", at positions 524 to 776 of the family's 1533-position model. The record is from RNAcentral.
UACAGAGGGGGCAAGCGUUAUUCGGAAUUAUUGGGCGUAAAGGGCGCGUAGGCGGCCUUGUAAGUCUUGGGUGAAAUCCCUCAGCUCGACUGAGGAACUGCCUCGGAUACUGCAAGGCUUGAGGCCGGGAGAGGGUAGUGGAAUUCCCAGUGUAGCGGUGAAAUGCGUAGAUAUUGGGAGGAACACCGGUGGCGAAGGCGGCUACCUGGACCGGUUCUGACGCUGAUGCGCGAAAGCGUGGGUAGCAAACAGG